Molecule: ribosomal RNA, 532 nt
Filed under: Ibacus chacei
Lineage: Eukaryota; Metazoa; Arthropoda; Malacostraca; Decapoda; Scyllaridae
Description: partial 16S ribosomal RNA
Rfam family: Bacterial large subunit ribosomal RNA
Source: RNAcentral
AAAAACAUGUCUNUGCGGUGUUUAUGUGAAGUCUAACCUGCCCAGUGAUAGUUAAUUUAACGGCCGCGGUAUACUGACCGUGCGAAGGUAGCAUAAUAAUUUGUUCUUUAAUUGAGGACUAGUAUGAAUGGUUGAACAAAAAGCUAACUGUCUCUAAAAUAAAUCUUGAAAUUAACGUUUAAGUGAAAAGGCUUAAAUGCUUUAAGGGGACGAUAAGACCCUAUAAAUCUUUAUAUUUGGAGUUUGUUAAUUUGAAAAGUAAAAUUAAAAUUUUAAUUUAAUGAAUUUAAAUAUUUUGUUGGGGAGACAGGAGUAUAAAAAAUAACUGCUUUAAAAUUUGAGUUAAUAAUAUUUAAUUAAGUGAUCCUUUAUUAUGGAUUUUAGAUUAAGUUACUUUAGGGAUAACAGCAUAAUUUCUUUUGAGAGUUCAUAUCGAAAAAGAAGGUUGUGACCUCGAUGUUGAAUUAAAGAUCCUUUAUGGUGCAGAAGUUAUAAGAGGAGGUCUGUUCGACCUUUAAAUCUUUACGUGAUC